RNAcentral lists this ribosomal RNA (253 nucleotides) under uncultured bacterium. RNAcentral describes it as "partial 16S ribosomal RNA". It matches the Rfam family "Bacterial small subunit ribosomal RNA", at positions 524 to 776 of the family's 1533-position model. The record is from RNAcentral.
UACCGAGGGUGCGAGCGUUAAUCGGAAUUACUGGGCGUAAAGCGUGCGUAGACGGUUAUUUAAGUCGGGUGUGAAAGCCCCGGGCUCAACCUGGGAAUUGCAUUCGAGACUGAAUAGCUAGGGUACGGUAGAGGGAAGUGGAAUUUCCGGUGUAGCGGUGAAAUGCGCAGAUAUCAGGAAGAACACCACUGGCGAAGGCAGCUCUCUGGGACGGUACUGACGCUGAGACGCGAAAGCGUGGGGAGCGAACAGG